ACGGGAGGCAGCAGUGGGGGAUAUUGCGCAAUGGGGGAAACCCUGACGCAGCAACGCCGCGUGAAGGAAGAAGGUCUUCGGGUUGUAGACCUUUGUCUUUUGGGACGAUAGUGACGGUACCAAAGGAGGAAGCCACGGCUAACUACGUGCCAGCAGCCGCGGUAAUACGUAGGUGGCGAGCGUUGUCCGGAAUUACUGGGUGUAAAGGGCGUGUAGGCGGGUAAUCAAGUCAGAUGUGAAAUACCGGGGCUCAACUCCGGGACUGCAUUUGAAACUGAAUAUCUUGAGUGCAGGAGAGGAAAGCGGAAUUCCUAGUGUAGCGGUGAAAUGCGUAGAUAUUAGGAGGAACACCGGUGGCGAAGGCGGCUUUCUGGACUGUAACUGGCGCUGAGGCGCGAAAGCGUGGGGAGCAAACAGGAUUAGAUACCCUGGUA
RNAcentral lists this ribosomal RNA (434 nucleotides) under uncultured Oscillospiraceae bacterium. RNAcentral's name for it is "partial 16S ribosomal RNA". It matches the Rfam family "Bacterial small subunit ribosomal RNA", at positions 341 to 792 of the family's 1533-position model. Lineage: Bacteria; Bacillati; Bacillota; Clostridia; Eubacteriales; Oscillospiraceae. The record is from RNAcentral.